Molecule: small nuclear RNA, 107 nt
Organism: Capra hircus (goat)
Lineage: Eukaryota; Metazoa; Chordata; Mammalia; Artiodactyla; Bovidae
Source: Ensembl
GUGCUCACUUCGGCUGCACAUAUUCUAAAAUUGGAAUGAUACAAAGAAGAUUAGCAUGGCCCCUGCACAAGGAUGAAAUGCAAAUUCAUCAAGCAUUCCAUAUUUUU